This 449-nucleotide ribosomal RNA is filed under the name uncultured bacterium. RNAcentral's name for it is "partial 16S ribosomal RNA". It matches the Rfam family "Bacterial small subunit ribosomal RNA", at positions 29 to 523 of the family's 1533-position model. The record is from RNAcentral.
AGCGAACGCUGGCGGCAGGCCUAACACAUGCAAGUCGAACGGAUCCUUCGGGAUUAGUGGCGGACGGGUGAGUAACACGUGGGAACGUGCCCUUUGGUUCGGAACAACUCAGGGAUACUUGAGCUAAUACCGGAUGUGCCCUUCGGGGGAAAGAUUCAUCGCCGUUGGAGCGGCCCGCGUCUGAUUAGCUAGUUGGUGGGGUAAAGGCCCACCAAGGCGACGAUCAGUAGCUGGUCUGAGGGGAUGAUCAGCCACAUUGGGACUGAGACACGGCCCAAACUCCUACGGGAGGCAGCAGUGGGGAAUCUUGCGCAAUGGGCGAAAGCCUGACGCAGCCAUGCCGCGUGAAUGAUGAAGGUCUUAGGAUUGUAAAAUUCUUUCACCGGGGACGAUAAUGACGGUACCCGGAGAAGAAGCCCCGGCUAACUUCGUGCCAGCCGCCGCCGUAA